This 407-nucleotide long non-coding RNA is filed under the name Rattus norvegicus (Norway rat). RNAcentral's name for it is "long non-coding RNA NONRATT005939". The record is from RNAcentral. Lineage: Eukaryota; Metazoa; Chordata; Mammalia; Rodentia; Muridae.
GCCGGAAUCUGCAUCUGGCUAUAUGGUUCGGUGCUGGUGGUGUCGCUAUAGAGAGCUGCUGCUGCUGCUCUCAGGUUUUACACAUAAUUGGGGUUGAGGGGAAAGUUACCUACCUGGAUUUCCCCAAGGGACGUCUGUGAAAAACUUUUGGGGGUUUUGCUCUGCGAGAACCCAGUACGGACACGCUAACUGUGCGUCCUUCCAUGUCCUCUGCUCCUCCCCAGAUGUUCUCUUCCGAUGGGCUUUUGGUGUAGGAUGUUGGAGAACCAAGAGCUGGAGGUAAGCAGGGUCUCCAGGUGGGUCAGAGUCGGAGGGCCACUUAGGGGGAGGGGACACAGAUGGCAGAGCAUCGUCUGCGGUGCUUUUUCCCUGUUAAUACUCUUGGUGUUUCAAAUUAAAGCCAGGAG